AGCGUUAAUCGGAAUUACUGGGCGUAAAGCGCACGCAGGCGGUCUGUCAAGUCGGAUGUGAAAUCCCCGGGCUCAACCUGGGAACUGCAUUCGAAACUGGCAGGCUAGAGUCUUGUAGAGGGGGGUAGAAUUCCAGGUGUAGCGGUGAAAUGCGUAGAGAUCUGGAGGAAUACCGGUGGCGAAGGCGGCCCCCUGGACAAAGACUGACGCUCAGGUGCGAAAGCGUGGGGAGCAAACAGGAUUAGAUACCCUGGUAGUCCACGCCGUAAACGAUGUCGAUUUGGAGGUUGUGCCCUUGAGGCGUGGCUUCCGGAGCUAACGCGUUAAAUCGACCGCCUGGGGAGUACGGCCGCAAGGUUAAAACUCAAAUGAAUUGACGGGGGCCCGCACAAGCGGUGGAGCAUGUGGUUUAAUUCGAUGCAACGCGAAGAACCUUACCUGGUCUUGACAUCCACAGAACUUAGCAGAGAUGGAUUGGUGCCUUCGGGAACUGUGAGACAGGUGCUGCAUGGCUGUCGUCAGCUCGUGUUGUGAAAUGUUGGGUUAAGUCCCGCAACGAGCGCAACCCUUAUCCUUUGUUGCCAGCGGUCCGGCCGGGAACUCAAAGGAGACUGCCAGUGAUAAACUGGAGGAAGGUGGGGAUGACGUCAAGUCAUCAUGGCCCUUACGACCAGGGCUACACACGUGCUACAAUGGCAUAUACAAAGAGAAGCGACCUCGCGAGAGCAAGCGGACCUCAUAAAGUAUGUCGUAGUCCGGAUUGGAGUCUGCAACUCGACUCCAUGAAGUCGGAAUCGCUAGUAAUCGUAGAUCAGAAUGCUACGGUGAAUACGUUCCCGGGCCUUGUACACACCGCCCGUCACACCAUGGGAGUGGGUUGCAAAAGAAGUAGGUAGCUUAACCUUCGGGAGGGCGCUUACCACUUUGUGAUUCAUGACUGGGGUGAAGUCGUAACAAGGUAACCGUAG
Molecule: ribosomal RNA, 968 nt
Filed under: Klebsiella pneumoniae
Lineage: Bacteria; Pseudomonadati; Pseudomonadota; Gammaproteobacteria; Enterobacterales; Enterobacteriaceae
Description: bacterial SSU rRNA
Rfam family: Bacterial small subunit ribosomal RNA
Source: RNAcentral